RNAcentral lists this long non-coding RNA (1879 nucleotides) under Gallus gallus (chicken). RNAcentral's name for it is "long non-coding RNA NONGGAT003152". Lineage: Eukaryota; Metazoa; Chordata; Aves; Galliformes; Phasianidae. The record is from RNAcentral.
CACAUGUAAAAAAUAAAUAAGCUCAUACAUUCAAGUAUAUGGCAAAUAAUUAACACCUCUGAAAGCUUAAUGGUCAGAUUCCAGUUCACCACCUGGCUGAGAGCUGCACAGGGCCAAGCCUAGAGCUGGUCAAGUCAUUCUCAUCUCCAUUUCUGUCCUCUUUACAGGUACAAGCUAGGUGGGUAUAUACGUGGCUGUGCACAUCCUCCUGCCUGAUCUCCAGCUCUCUACCUGGCCCAGGAAGGAGGCAGAGGUUCAGCUCAGCCUUCUGUGCAGCAGGUGAGUGCUCCCUGGUGGCAGCUGAAAUGCAGCUACCCCUCCCGUGGUCAGUACAGGCCGGUUAAAUGCCUGGUGAGCAGCGGCACUGGUGUGGAAAAAUCUUACCGCUGGUUGGAAAUGUUUCUAUCAAAUUUGUUUUGAUUAGAAAGUGCUGAUUUGUCCCCUGUAGGAAACACAUCUGCUUCAGCAGAACUCAUUACUGGAGUUUCUGAAGUCCAGGACAGCCUCUCUGGUCAAGCAUUCCGCCUCCUGAAGUUUGAUCUCUGCUGUCCUCCUCUCUGGGUGUGCAUUUCCAACUUUACCGAAAGGGAUGAAAGUAAAUGUAGACCCUUGCACUUGUGUACAGGGUGAAACUGACCUCCCAGUAACAAUCCCAGCCUGGAGCUGUUGCCAAGGCUCCAUUUCUUGCUGGUGUGGGACCAGACGAUGUGCGGAAUAAGGACUGCCUUGCUGAGAGCAGGUCUGCUGGGGCACAGAGCAGCACAGCACUGAUUUCUUUCAGGAGAAAGAAGGGGAGGGAAGUGCUAUUGUCCUCCGUUGCCAGGUGCAGGAGAUAGUUCUGCUUGCUCUCAUGACAAGCCAUGGCCAGAAAACUUUGCUGGCUCACAAAGCAGGUCAGUGCCAGAUGCAGGUUUCUGCCUUAGGCAUGCUGGACCGUCCCGUGUGCAGCUGAACCAGGAGCCUCACCAGAAACAAUUAGUUCAGCUAAGUUUGAUUGAUGAGCAGAAGACUUUCUUCCUUCUUUGCAAGGUACCAGCUCUUCUGUCUUGUGGCUGCAGUGCAGGCAGCAUAGCUGGCACUUACCUUUCAGGUUUUGUCUCAUGCUCAUUCUCUGCAGGUCUCCAUAUCCCACUAAAGUUAAAGAGGGAGAGCUCCAGCUCCUGCUUUGGAGCUUCUGGCACAACUCUGUACAGGAGCAGCUGAGGAAGUGGAGGGGACAACAUACAGCUCUCACUGCAGAGUUUAGAGCAACCCCAGAACAAACUUCAACGGAAAAAACAAAACUGGUGAAGAUGUUCCAGGAAAUGAUCCAGAACAAUUUGUGUCAUCUCAUGACGCAGAUGUGACUGCAAAAAUGUCCCUUUCCCUAUUAAAAGUAUUUUAGAAAUAAAGAAGAUCGAGGCUGCAUUUAACUACCUGCUCUAGGCUCCUCCUUCAGCUGACAGUGUGAGUUCCUGGAGUUUUAGGUGACAAGCAAAAGGACUGCCAAGGUCUUCUUCCCUUGAGCUGUGCCCAUUGUUACAGAGGCUGCAUCUCCUAAAAAACCCUUGUUUAAAAGCCAUCCCCUCCUCUGAACACCAGGUGCAGUGCAGUUGAGGUGCAGAUCCUGGGAGAAGUCUGGUGGUGCAGGAGCACUCUGUUUGAAACCACCUACACUUAAGUUCUUUUUGAAAAAACAAAUGAAACCAAAACAAACCCCCCAAAUCAACCCCGGUUCUUAGCUGGAACCAGGCCUUUGCUGCUCCUCUUCUGCCUCCUCUUGUGCUGAGGCCAGGUCUACCCUCUGCUCAUCCAUGCGUUUGGCCUGGACCCGCUGGAUGAGGCUGAAGAAAUCCUCAUCUGGCAUGGUGGGACCACGGGGGAUGGAGUCUGGUGGUGC